Molecule: non-coding RNA, 1230 nt
Organism: Lolium perenne
Lineage: Eukaryota; Viridiplantae; Streptophyta; Magnoliopsida; Poales; Poaceae
Source: RefSeq, a predicted model, not a curated record
CCAAUCCCCGCCUCCUCUCACCUCCUCCUCCUCCUCCUCUAGAGACAGCGGUGGCUCGGACUCAGUGUGGCUGCGCUGCCUCCUCUCCUCUCUGCUCCCGUGCGUGCUUGCUCGCGGCGACAGGGUGCUCCAGUGCCGGGUACGACACGGCCGGCAGCGGUGCGGCAGCAGCUUCGAGGAGCCGGGGUUGCGGCGGCCAGGACGCCCGCCCAAGCGACCCCCGCCGCCGGCCACACAUGAGCUUCACGCUCGUGGACCUCUAGGACAGGAGAUCGAUGGGGACGGAUGGAGACGGCAGCAGCGGUGGCACGAUGGUGGCCCGGGCUAGGCGCUGCAGGAGCGCACAUGGGCGGCGUCGACUCGGAGAGUGGCGGCAGAACGGUGCCUCGAGGUCGAGAAGGUCGUCCACAGCCGCCGGUACGGUGCUCGAGAUCUGGCGGAUCGGCACCUCGAGGUCGAGAAGGGCGUCCACACCCGCCGGUGCUCGAGAUCUGGCGGAUGGAGGGCUGCAGCGGCGGCGGGAUCAAUCUUGGUCGUCACUCCAACCUGCAGAGCUCCGUGACGUUUUCCUGGUCGAGCUCUGGUUUCCACCCAUGUUUCCUUCUCUUCCUCUCUGCUGUUGGCCACGCCGGCCAUGGCCCUCGAAUCCGACGCCUGCAUCUACCGGACACAUCCGCUAUUCCAGUAAAGGAUUUGAUGUGCUAAAACAAUAAUGUGGAGAUAAGUCAUAUGUCUGAUGGAAAAUAUAGCUAUAGCUAUUUUUUGUUUGUUUUAUCAGUAUCAUCCUAGAACCUGACAUGGGCCUGCUUAUUAUCUGCUUAAUCUCCCUACUUUUAUACCUGAUUUGUGUGUUGCCGGUUGACAUGAAGCCUCCUUCGGUCAACAAGUAGGUAUUUAUGGCCAGGCUGAUAGCUAUUUGCAGAUAUUCAGGUUGUUGUUAAUUGUGGCAGGUGAGAGAUCUGAAGUUAAUGCCUGUGAAAAUUCGUGGUUUCUUAAGUGGGCGAAGAGCUGCCAGAAAGAAGAUCCAUGAGAGGAUCAAUGCUAUCCACUUAUCUUUGUCAGUUCUGAAAUCUCCAGGAGCUGAAGCUCAAGUAAAUGAGCUUAGAAAAGUAUCAAUAAAGCUAAGCAAAGCAUUGAACUUGGAAGGGAUCAGAUCAAUGGUGGAAAGAUUGACACAAAAGAACAACAUUCCACAGUGUGUACCUCUUGCACUUUGUUUUCUUUAUUGAU